AGCAGCCGCGGUAAUUCCAGCUCCAAUAGCGUAUAUUAAAGUUGUUGCAGUUAAAAGCUCGUAGUUGAAUUUCGGGAUCAAUUAAUUGGUCGUGCCUAUGGUACGUACUGAUUUUAUUGGUUUCUCCCUUCUGACGAACCAUGAUGUCAUUAAUUUGGUGUCGUGGAGAACCAGGACUGUUACUUUGAAAAAAUUAGAGUGUUUAAAGCAGGCUCACGCUUGAAUACAUUAGCAUGGAAUAAUGAAAUAGGACGUUUGAUUCUAUUUUGUUGGUUUCUAGGAUCGACGUAAUGAUUAAUAGGGAUAGUUGGGGGCAUUAGUAUUCAAUUGUCAGAGGUGAAAUUCUUGGAUUUAUUGAAGACUAACUACUGCGAAAGCAUUUGCCAAGGAUGUUUUCAUUAAUCAAGAACGAAGGUUAGGGGAUCGAAGACGAUCAGAUACCGUCGUAGUCUUAACCAUAAACUAUGCCGACUAGGGAUCGGAUGAUGUUAAUUUUUUAAUGACUCAUUCGGCGCCUUAC
Molecule: ribosomal RNA, 520 nt
Filed under: uncultured Glomus
Lineage: Eukaryota; Fungi; Glomeromycota; Glomeromycetes; Glomerales; Glomeraceae
Description: SSU rRNA
Rfam family: Eukaryotic small subunit ribosomal RNA
Source: RNAcentral